CCUACGGGAGGCAGCAGUGGGGAAUAUUGGACAAUGGGCGAAAGCCUGAUCCAGCCAUGCCGCGUGUGUGAAGAAGGCCUUCGGGUUGUAAAGCACUUUCAGUGGGGAAGAAAGCCUUGGGGCUAAUACCCUCGAGGAAGGACAUCACCCACAGAAGAAGCACCGGCUAACUCCGUGCCAGCAGCCGCGGUAAUACGGAGGGUGCGAGCGUUAAUCGGAAUUACUGGGCGUAAAGCGCGCGUAGGCGGUCUGAUAAGCCGGUUGUGAAAGCCCCGGGCUCAACCUGGGAACGGCAUCCGGAACUGUCAGGCUAGAGUGCAGGAGAGGAAGGUAGAAUUCCCGGGGUAGCAGUGAAAUGCGUAGAGAUCGGGAGGAAUACCAGUGGCGAAGGCGGCCUUCUGGACUGACACUGACGCUGAGGUGCGAAAGCGUGGGUAGCAAACAGGAUUAGAUACCCCAGUAGUC
This 465-nucleotide ribosomal RNA is filed under the name Vreelandella stevensii. RNAcentral's name for it is "partial 16S ribosomal RNA". It matches the Rfam family "Bacterial small subunit ribosomal RNA", at positions 338 to 795 of the family's 1533-position model. Lineage: Bacteria; Pseudomonadati; Pseudomonadota; Gammaproteobacteria; Oceanospirillales; Halomonadaceae. The record is from RNAcentral.